AAGACUUCUAGUGCUGUUUGCUGUCAAACAUGCUCCAGUGGCUUCCAAAACUUGUGGAAAAUCAAUUUAAAGUCUUUGUAAAAA
This is a long non-coding RNA of Thalassophryne amazonica, 84 nucleotides long. RefSeq lists it as uncharacterized. The record is from RefSeq and is a predicted model, not a curated record. The transcript is spliced from 3 exons. Lineage: Eukaryota; Metazoa; Chordata; Actinopteri; Batrachoidiformes; Batrachoididae.